This 314-nucleotide ribosomal RNA is filed under the name uncultured bacterium. Its description in RNAcentral is "partial 16S ribosomal RNA". It matches the Rfam family "Bacterial small subunit ribosomal RNA", at positions 499 to 807 of the family's 1533-position model. The record is from RNAcentral.
UUAUAAGAGACAGCAGUAGCCACGGUAAUACGUAGGGUGCAAGCGUUAAUCGGAAUUACUGGGCGUAAAGCGUGCGCAGGCGGUUAUAUAAGACAGAUGUGAAAUCCCCGGGCUCAACCUGGGAACUGCAUUUGUGACUGUAUAGCUAGAGUACGGCAGAGGGUGAUGGAAUUCCGCGUGUAGCAGUGAAAUGCGUAGAUAUGCGGAGGAACACCGAUGGCGAAGGCAAUCACCUGGGCCUGUACUGACGCUCAUGCACGAAAGCGUGGGGAGCAAACAGGAUUAGAUACCCCUGUAGUCCCUGUCUCUUAUAC